RNAcentral lists this ribosomal RNA (253 nucleotides) under uncultured bacterium. Its description in RNAcentral is "partial 16S ribosomal RNA". It matches the Rfam family "Bacterial small subunit ribosomal RNA", at positions 524 to 776 of the family's 1533-position model. The record is from RNAcentral.
UACGGAGGGUGCAAGCGUUAUCCGGAUUCACUGGGCGUAAAGCGCACGUAGGCGGCUUCUUAAGUCAGGGGUGAAAUCCUGGAGCUCAACUCCAGAACUGCCUCUGAUACUGAGGAGCUCGAGUCCGGGAGAGGUGAGUGGAACUCCGAGUGUAGAGGUGAAAUUCGUAGAUAUUCGGAAGAACACCAGUGGCGAAGGCGGCUCACUGGCCCGGUACUGACGCUGAGGUGCGAAAGCGUGGGGAGCAAACAGG